GACGAACGCUGGCGGCGUGCCUAAUACAUGCAAGUAGAACGCUGAAGAGAGGAGCUUGCUCUUCUUGGAUGAGUUGCGAACGGGUGAGUAACGCGUAGGUAACCUGCCUGGUAGCGGGGGAUAACUAUUGGAAACGAUAGCUAAUACCGCAUAAAAUUGAUUAUUGCAUGAUAAUUAAUUGAAAGAUGCAACUGCAUCACUACCAGAUGGACCUGCGUUGUAUUAGCUAGUUGGUGAGGUAACGGCUCACCAAGGCGACGAUACAUAGCCGACCUGAGAGGGGGAUCGGCCAAACUGGGAAUGAGACACGGCCCAGACUCCUACGGGAGGCAGCAGUAGGGAAUCUUCGGCAAUGGGGGGAACCCUGACCGAGCAACGCCGCGUGAGUGAAGAAGGUUUUCGGAUCGUAAAGCUCUGUUGUAAGAGAAGAACGGGUGUGAGAGUGGAAAGUUCACACUGUGACGGUAUCUUACCAGAAAGGGACGGCUAACUACGUG
Molecule: ribosomal RNA, 497 nt
Filed under: uncultured bacterium
Lineage: Bacteria
Description: partial 16S ribosomal RNA
Rfam family: Bacterial small subunit ribosomal RNA
Source: RNAcentral